RNAcentral lists this unclassified non-coding RNA (245 nucleotides) under plant metagenome. RNAcentral's name for it is "partial contains 5.8S ribosomal RNA, internal transcribed spacer 2, and large subunit ribosomal RNA". The record is from RNAcentral.
CCAAGAAGUUAUCCAAGACUGGUUCUGCGACUAAGGCAGUCAGGAUUUUGAUCAACGCUUCGGUUUGCCCGCGUGCCAAUCGCUCUGCCCGCGAUCGCUCGUUCACUUCUGCUUCUAGAGCAGCAUUAAUCUCUGCCAGUUCGGCGGCACGUUCUUGCGUGGCUUGAAUUCGCUGUUCAAUCAAUCGCUUAACUAACUGUUUGCGAUGCAAAGCCGUCCCCAUGCUGUCGGCAACAGCGGUAAGC